UAGCUCAGUUGGUAGAGCAUGGUGUUUGCAAUGCCACGGUUGUGGGUUCGAUUCUCAC
Molecule: non-coding RNA, 58 nt
Organism: Salmo salar (Atlantic salmon)
Lineage: Eukaryota; Metazoa; Chordata; Actinopteri; Salmoniformes; Salmonidae
Source: Rfam